UUGAUUCUCUACAUGUUGGAGGACCAAGGUUAACCCUCUUUAUUCUUCAAUUAAACCAAGCAUUUUCUUCCCCCUUAUCUCUCUCUGACCUCCAGGGAGUAAACCUGUCAGCCAAGACAUACAGCUUUGGAUAUGUGGCACCUUUGCACAGGGAGAACCAAGGCCAAUACCUAUCGUGAGACAUGUGUUUCAUUAUGCACUCCAACCCAACCGCAGAACUCACCUUUAAAAAGUGGACAUUUUCUCUCAGAAGUGGGACAAUGGAAUUUUGAGAGCAGCUCGAUGAGUACUUUUAAAAAAAAAAUCCAAACAACUUUGACCAGAAGUAGAUAAAGCAAGGAAGGAACUUGGCAACUGUGGAUUUAAUCUUGACCAAUCAGGUGGACAUAGAAUGUAUAGGUGGAGUGACAGAAACAAUGGGAAAAAAUGAAAUGACAGGCUUGCUGGGUGGUGAGUGCUGGCCUGACGAGAGCUCCUGGGAAGGGUGAAGUUGAUGGAAAUAUUGUGUACUCAGUUUUUCUUGCUUGUUGAAAAGUAUUUCUAGUAAAGACUAGAGGGAAGUUUGUUGCACUGUUCCCCUCUGAGGGCCAAGUUUCCUCCAGCUGAAGAGCAGACAAGAUGUCACCAAGGCAAGGGCAUCCACUACCUCACAGUUCUCUAGUGUGGGAGACCUUCUUCAGAGGCCCCAAGAAAGGAAAGAUGGAGGAAAAUGAGAAAGGCAUUUCUGCC
Castor canadensis (American beaver) is the source of this 729-nucleotide non-coding RNA. The record is from RefSeq and is a predicted model, not a curated record. NCBI's taxonomy places the organism in Eukaryota, Metazoa, Chordata, Mammalia, Rodentia, Castoridae.